GACGAACGCUGGCGGCGCGCCUAACACAUGCAAGUCGAACGAGCGAGAGAGAGCUUGCUUUCUCGAGCGAGUGGCGAACGGGUGAGUAACGCGUGAGGAACCUGCCUCAAGGAGGGGGACAACAGUUGGAAACGACUGCUAAUACCGCAUAAGCCCACGGGUCGGCAUCGACCAGAGGGAAAAGGAGCAAUCCGCUUUGAGAUGGCCUCGCGUCCGAUUAGCUAGUUGGUGAGGUAACGGCCCACCAAGGCAACGAUCGGUAGCCGGACUGAGAGGUUGAACGGCCACAUUGGGACUGAGACACGGCCCAGACUCCUACGGGAGGCAGCAGUGGGGAAUAUUGCACAAUGGGGGAAACCCUGAUGCAGCGACGCCGCGUGGAGGAAGAAGGUCUUCGGAUUGUAAACUCCUGUUGUUGAGGAAGAUAAUGACGGUACUCA
Molecule: ribosomal RNA, 440 nt
Filed under: uncultured bacterium
Lineage: Bacteria
Description: bacterial SSU rRNA
Rfam family: Bacterial small subunit ribosomal RNA
Source: RNAcentral